UUAAGAUCAUUCUCUUGGGACAGACUGUUAACAUAUUCUAAAUUGAGUAGCUGUCCAGCGAGCAGGCAAGAUUUGGUCCUGUGAUGCCAAGAUUUGUGUGGUAGUACACUCUAAAAAUUAGGGGUUCAACUGGAGUUCUUCUAAGAACCUUAAGGUUCUUGGCAAUGAAAAACAGCACCAAAAAGGUUAUUCGAAGAACUUCUUAGGAGGUGGGUUCAUCGAGGAACCCCCAUUGUUGCUGGAGUUCUUCGGGGGAACUUCACAACUGAAAACGUUCGCGCCAAGUUUGAAUGCGACAACAGUUUAAAAAGAACAGAACAUGGACACAAUGCAAUUGGGAUCAAGAAGAAGAUAUUCUCAAAAAUGAAUCAAAUCCAUGGAAUGGAUAUAGACAAAAAUAAAAUGUAAAGGACUCCGUAAGGCUAGUGGCAAAAUGAUAGCAGAGUUAGAGGUGAGCCAGGGGUGAGGAUAUCAUCCUGCUAUUUCGGCAGUCCCUGAAGGACAGUACAGAAGAGGCACACAGGUAUUUGCACUUGUUCCUUACCUUUCUCUAAUGUAGCCAAUACAUAGUAUAUUAAAAAUAUGUAUUUUGUAAUAAAAUUAGCAAAUGUAGUAAGAUCAUUGCUUUAGUAGGACUCGAGACCACAGCUCUUGCCCUUCUUCUUCAAUGAGGACCCGAGUGGCCUUUGUCUGUGACGAGGUUUCACUGCUCCCAACUCCUUUACUGAACAUCGGU
Oncorhynchus mykiss (rainbow trout) is the source of this 736-nucleotide non-coding RNA. The record is from RefSeq and is a predicted model, not a curated record. NCBI's taxonomy places the organism in Eukaryota, Metazoa, Chordata, Actinopteri, Salmoniformes, Salmonidae.